UUGGAGAUCCUAUUUGCAAUGGACAUGCUUUGAAGAUAAAAGGGGUGACAAUCAGAGAAAAAGUUGGACCUCGUGGAUGGACACGAACUAAUCGUCAGUUUAUUUGAAGCAUGAUUUGAAGAGAUUCCUAGCAAUUAACAAACUUGAACCUUGAGAUGGGGAGAGAGUAGAAUAAUCUAGAGCGUUGCUGAAAUGCCUUGAUUCUCUAG
Long non-coding RNA from Daphnia pulicaria, 209 nucleotides. RefSeq lists it as uncharacterized. The transcript has 3 exons. The record is from RefSeq and is a predicted model, not a curated record. Lineage: Eukaryota; Metazoa; Arthropoda; Branchiopoda; Diplostraca; Daphniidae.